Molecule: non-coding RNA, 863 nt
Organism: Paramuricea clavata
Lineage: Eukaryota; Metazoa; Cnidaria; Anthozoa; Malacalcyonacea; Plexauridae
Source: the annotation of a GenBank genome assembly
CUCUUUUGCUUCCCGAGAAAGGCUGUUCCAAAGUUUUGCCCCGCUGUACUUAAAGCUUUUUUUAGGAAUUCUCGUCUUGGUUUUAAGAGAGUUCUAGUUAAGAAUGUAACGAGUUCUAGUUAAGAAUGUAGUUCUAGGUAAGAAUGUAACUAAACAAUUAUUAUUUAAAACUAGAGUUGUAGGCCUUACUACCGGCCAUAAUAAAACUAUUAGCAAACCUACUUGUCCUAUGCUUUGGUAUUGAAAGACAGUUAUUAUUACGUAGAGAGUUUAUGGGAUGUUUCAUCACACAUUUGAUCGAAAAGUUUCUCGCAAAUGGUCUUUCUCCGCAGGAACAGUGACACCACCCCAGCACGUACCAACGCAUCUUCAUAUUUGAGGUCAGGAAAGAUUAUACGAAGGGCUCUGCGUUGAAUACUCUCGAUCUCGUCGCUCAAGUAUCGCGCCAAGCUAUAGUGCCAUACCCCACACGAAAAUUCUAAGAUUGGUCGAACGCAGGUAGUAUAAACCCGGACUAACUUGCCCGCUGGUAUAGAGGAUCUCUUAAGUAAUCGUAAGGCAUACAACCGCUUUGAAGCUUUCUUGCAGAUAUAAUCAACGUGCUCGAUCCAUUUAAGAUCUUUAGAGAUUAUGACACCAAGUAAUUUAGCAUGCGGGACCACGACUAUAUCGUGACCGUCAAUGGUGAUCGGCGGAAGAGCCACGGGAUCAAGAGGAGAAAACCCAACACGAACUUCUUUUGUUUUUGUAGGGUUCAGUUUCAUGUUAUUCUCAGAAGCCCAUGCAUUUAGUAGAUUCUGGGCUCUUGUGACGAACAGUUCCAAUAUUUCUCUUCCCUUGUCGAUGGUAUUGUUAGUGAUAAA